This 224-nucleotide ribosomal RNA is filed under the name uncultured bacterium. RNAcentral describes it as "partial 16S ribosomal RNA". It matches the Rfam family "Bacterial small subunit ribosomal RNA", at positions 110 to 334 of the family's 1533-position model. The record is from RNAcentral.
GUAACGCGUGGGUAACCUGCCUUGUACAGGGGGAUAACAGUUGGAAACGGCUGCUAAUACCGCAUAAGCGCACGGCAUCGCAUGAUGCAGUGUGAAAAACUCCGGUGGUAUAAGAUGGACCCGCGUUGGAUUAGCUAGUUGGUGAGGUAACGGCCCACCAAGGCGACGAUCCAUAGCCGACCUGAGAGGGUGACCGGCCACAUUGGGACUGAGACACGGCCCAA